This 400-nucleotide ribosomal RNA is filed under the name uncultured bacterium. RNAcentral describes it as "bacterial SSU rRNA". It matches the Rfam family "Bacterial small subunit ribosomal RNA", at positions 355 to 746 of the family's 1533-position model. The record is from RNAcentral.
UAGGGAAUAUUGCGCAAUGGGGGAAACCCUGACGCAGCAACGCCGCGUGAGUGAGGAAGGUCUUCGGAUUGUAAAACUCUUUUCUUAGAGAAAAAUGUCUUAGUAGCUAAUACCUAUUAGGAGUGAUGGUAUCUAAGGAAUAAGCACCGGCUAACUUCGUGCCAGCAGCCGCGGUAAUACGAAGGGUGCAAGCGUUGUUCGGAAUCAUUGGGCGUAAAGCGCGCGCAGGCGGAUUGAUAAGUCAGGUGUGAAAUCUCGGAGCUCAACUCCGAAACUGCGCCUGAAACUAUUAGUCUAGAAUGUCGGAGGGGGCAGGGGAAUUUCACGUGUAGGGGUAAAAUCCGUAGAGAUGUGAAGGAACACCGGAGGCGAAGGCGCCUGCCUGGACGACUAUUGACGC